RNAcentral lists this ribosomal RNA (418 nucleotides) under bacterium. RNAcentral describes it as "partial 16S ribosomal RNA". It matches the Rfam family "Bacterial small subunit ribosomal RNA", at positions 356 to 776 of the family's 1533-position model. The record is from RNAcentral.
UGGGGAUAUUGCACAAUGGGCGCAAGCCUGAUGCAGCGACGCCGCGUGGGGGAUGAAGGCCUUCGGGUUGUAAACUUCUUUUGCUCUGAACAAGGCGCACUUUGGGGUGUGUUGAGUGUAGGGGUUGAUUAGCGCCGGCUAACUACGUGCCAGCAGCCGCGGUAAUACGUAUGGCGCGAGCGUUGUCCGGAAUUAUUGGGCGUAAAGGGCUUGUAGGUGGCUGGUUGCGUCUGUCGUGAAAGCUCAUGGCUUAACUGUGGGUUUGCGGUGGGUACGGGCUGGCUUGAGUGCAGUAGGAGAGGCUGGAAUUCCUGGUGUAGCGGUGGAAUGCGCAGAUAUCAGGAGGAAUACCGGUGGCGAAGGCGGGUCUCUGGGCUGUUACUGACACUGAGGAGCGAAAGCAUGGGGAGCGAACAGG